This is a long non-coding RNA of Solanum dulcamara, 326 nucleotides long. RefSeq lists it as uncharacterized. Lineage: Eukaryota; Viridiplantae; Streptophyta; Magnoliopsida; Solanales; Solanaceae. The record is from RefSeq and is a predicted model, not a curated record. The transcript has 2 exons.
ACUGAUUUGCUGUCUCGAAGAAGGUCAGCAACCUCCAUUUUCCUAGGUCUAUAAAUGAAUGUGUGGAUAAUUGAAUGUUCUUGCUUCUCAACUAAUUUUUUGUUUUACACAUACAAUACAAGUGGCUGCUAUAUGUCGAGAAUUCAACAGGGGCAAGGUUCUUACAUAAUCUCAAAUGGCGUCGACAAAGGAGGAGCUUGAAGGCACUUGAUAUUCUUUUUCAUAUGUGUAUGCAUUAAUGACAUUGAACAAUGAACUAUUGUGAAAUAUAUAUUUUAUUGAUUUCUUAGUAAUGAAAGUACUUAUGAUAUUCGGUUUGGGAAUUA